RNAcentral lists this ribosomal RNA (292 nucleotides) under uncultured bacterium. Its description in RNAcentral is "partial 16S ribosomal RNA". It matches the Rfam family "Bacterial small subunit ribosomal RNA", at positions 505 to 796 of the family's 1533-position model. The record is from RNAcentral.
GUGCCAGCAGCCGCGGUAAGACAGAGGGUGCAAACGUUGCUCGGAAUUACUGGGCGUAAAGCGCGUGUAGGUGGUCACCCCAGUCGGAUGUGAAAGCCCAGGGCUCAACCCUGGACGUGCAUACGAUACUAGGUGGCUGGAGUCUCGGAGAGGAUAGCGGAAUUCCCGGUGUAGAGGUGAAAUUCGUAGAUAUCGGGAGGAACACCAGUGGCGAAGGCGGCUAUCUGGACGAGUACUGACACUGAGACGCGAAAGCAUGGGGAGCAAACAGGAUUAGAUACCCCAGUAGUCC